Molecule: long non-coding RNA, 544 nt
Organism: Zea mays
Lineage: Eukaryota; Viridiplantae; Streptophyta; Magnoliopsida; Poales; Poaceae
Exons: 3
Source: RefSeq, a predicted model, not a curated record
UUCUAAUAUGUUGAUAUCUUAAUUUGCAGGAUGGCGUAGUUCCACUUGCUGGACCCUCACUACGACGAGCACCACAGGGGCUGUCUCACCGCAGAGGGAGAGGUGUUGCCCGUUCUGCGGGUCCGGACCCACGACCGGUUUCUGGAGGAGAUGAGGUACGAUGAGAGGUACACUCCUCUCCUACAGAGGGCUGGCUUGGACGUCGUAUCGUACCAGGUUUGCCGUGGGCUGCCCAAUUUCAACCCAGCGGCGUUGACGGCUCUGGUCGACAGGUGGCGGCCAGAGACUCACACUUUCCACCUUCCCUGCGGUGAGAUGACCGUGACGCUUGAAGAUUGCCAGAAGAUUCUUGGUCUCAGCAUUAUUGGUCGUCCAGUGACCGGUCAGGCAUCACCAGGCGGUUGGAGGCAGAGGGUGGAGGCCUUUCUUGGGAGACUGCUUCCGGAUGACCUACGAGGUAGCCACAACACCGGAGUCCCACUGACCUAGCUUAGGCAGACCUUUGGGCAGUGUCCACCUGGUGCAGACGAGCAGACAGUUGGAU